RNAcentral lists this ribosomal RNA (454 nucleotides) under uncultured Nitrospiraceae bacterium. RNAcentral's name for it is "partial 16S ribosomal RNA". It matches the Rfam family "Bacterial small subunit ribosomal RNA", at positions 338 to 794 of the family's 1533-position model. The record is from RNAcentral. Lineage: Bacteria; Pseudomonadati; Nitrospirota; Nitrospiria; Nitrospirales; Nitrospiraceae.
CCUACGGGAGGCAGCAGUAAGGAAUAUUGCGCAAUGGGCGACAGCCUGACGCAGCGACGCCGCGUGGGGGAUGAAGGUCUUCGGAUUGUAAACCCCUUUCGGGAGGGAAGAUGGGACGGGCAACCGUUCGGACGGUACCUCCAGAAGCAGCCACGGCUAACUUCGUGCCAGCAGCCGCGGUAAUACGAAGGUGGCAAGCGUUGUUCGGAUUUACUGGGCGUACAGGGAGCGUAGGCGGUUGGGUAAGCCCUCCGUGAAAUCGCCGGGCCAAACCCGGAAAGUGCGGAGGGGACUGCUCAGCUAGAGGAUGGGAGAGGAGCGCGGAAUUCCCGGUGUAUCGGUGAAAUGCGUAGAGAUCGGGAGGAAGGCCGGUGGCGAAGGCGGCGCUCUGGAACAUUUCUGACGCUGAGGCUCGAAAGCGUGGGGAGCAAACAGGAUUAGAUCCCCUGGUAGU